RNAcentral lists this non-coding RNA (31 nucleotides) under Mus musculus (house mouse). The record is from RNAcentral. Lineage: Eukaryota; Metazoa; Chordata; Mammalia; Rodentia; Muridae.
UAUACUUGAUACACAUUCACGGACUUCAAAG